AAAAAAUAUAAUACGUUACAGUCGAAUAUCCGCGAUCUACGUGAAAAUGUAGCGCAGCAUCUCGUAAAAGGCUUUGCUAGGAAAUCGAAGGAUUUACCGCGUUUCCGACCGACCUGGAUGUCGUUCACCUCGCCGGACAUCGUUGCAGGAAUCUCAUCGUGUACAAUGAACAGAAAAGACCACACUAGAAAUUGGUCAUUCUUUACGGGUCAGAACUUGAAGAUCAAAGGAUUAAAAGCAUAGUUCAAACAAAAGAAGAAAGUUCUUUUAGAUUUAAUUAAAAUAUUUUAAAAAUUCAUGAGGAAAAAACAAACGCAUUAACAUAAUAACGCAUUAAAUUUUCAUCAAAUAUUUGAAAUCUACAAGAAAUACUGUAAAAAUAUUAUUGUAUUAGACACAAAGUUGAAAUAAUUUCAUAUUCAAUAUGCUAGACCUUAAUCGUUAAGCUCUUGUGUAACAAUGACAAAUAAUUGUUGGAUGAGAAACAACAAACUACAUUUCGCAACAGAGAAGUCCAGGAAAUUCAGUUUCAGCCCUCUGCUAGCAAUAAAUUACGUAGGAAGAACAGAGAAUAUAGCGACACAAAUUGCAAAGUUUCUACGGAACUUGUGAAUAGUUCAAUCGAUCAUGUUCAAAUUUCGCAUUACUUCGACUGCCAUAAAACAGAUGACUGAUGCGCAAUUCUCCACUACACAGAUGUGUUUUGUUAUUAUAUUCAACUAAUACACUCGAAUUUGUUCAACAACCUCAUGUUACCUCAAUGAUUAAGGAAGGGAUUGUCCUUUCUUCUCGUUACUGAACAAUAUUAAACAAUUUCUGUACACAUAAAAUCACAUAAUUUACAAGAUAUCAUUCUCUUGUUCACAUCUAAGAGGAAAAAACCUGCAAAAACUAUGUCUUAUAACUUUGAACAUGCUGAACACACAUACACACGCUUUUUAGAGCAUCGUGGAUCGUAAGAACGUCUCCGCGCUCGAUCGAAACGAAGUUACUUUUAUAUCGUCAUGAUCGCACGUCACGUACCGGUAACUUCGGGAGCUGAUGCUUUCGAAGAAGCUUCGCUCGAAGUUUAAAUAUUCCUCGAUACUUGGCAAACGUCCCUUUAAACCUUUUAGCCAACCUGCUCUAUAAACGAGGCGAACAUGAUGCAGGAACACCGCAAUAGAAAGCAUUAACCCCUUUUUUCGACUUUUGCUUCAGCGAAGUGCAUUCGCAUGUUUUUAAACAAAUGCACUGUCCUCGUAGCCAGUUAAAAAUAUAAUAGCAUUUUUUUUAAAUUAAGAAGAUACUUUUCAUGAUAAACUGUAAUAAUUUCGAAAUGGGUAACAGAGAUUGCAGAUUCCGUCACGAAAGAAGAAAAAUAGUAACACGAAACGUAUCAAUAUUCUCAUGUUUACAGCAAAGCUCGACAAUAGCAAAGCUCACGCAAUACGAGGCUUAAACGCAACAUCGAUGUCUGAGCAAGACAAUCUUACUCAGUUUCUUAGAAAUCGAAACGAAAAAUAUCAAGUAAGAAAUAUAUGUCCUCCUUUCUUAUGUAAUCCUACAUUGAGUAGUAAGUUUGCCAUCGUCUCAUUUUAUGGAUACUGAGCUGCUCGAAAUGUUAGUCCUUACUUUUCUCGUAUGAGAUCUGCAGGCUUAAGGUAAGAGUCCAUUUGAAAGAAAUAUUACCGAGAGUCAGUCUGGAGAGUCAUACUUGCAAAUGGACGUACUAAGGGAGUACUAUAAAAUUAGUCUCCUGUUUAACAUUAAUCUCUUUGUAAAAUUAUUCUCUUUAUAAAAUUAUAUCCUCUUAUUCUUUUACCAUCUUUAUUUCCGAGAAUUACUCUCGAAUGAACACCAAGCUUUAAUUGCUGUUACGAAUAGCAACGAAGUAUUGUAAUUAUUCAUAAAAUAACUUGGAAAAAAGUAGAUGGGAAAUUUUCACACCGAACUCUGUAUACCUUAAUUUAACAAUGCUCGUAGAAUAGCAACACGCUAUGCACAAUACGAAUUCGUUGAAGCAAUAAUGGGCUAAUAAAAUAACAAAUAAUAGAUAGAAUUUUAACAGAAACACGAAUGCAAUUCCAACUUUCGUGUUUGCCAAGAUUAAUUCGUAACACAAUUGUCCGAAUCGUGCGCAUAUUUUUAUCAAUAUCCGUCAACGAGCUGCAUGCGCACAAUGGUGAUAUUGUUAGUGCAUUGUUCCCAAAAUAAUAAAUAUGGAAAAAAACACACUCGCAUCCACGUGAUUAAUUUUGCGUUGCUCUGCAAUACGGCAGCUGUAUUUUCGCGAUUCUGCGAUAUGGCGCUCAUAGUGAAACAGUAAACUAGUUUACUUCAUUUGCGAGACGAUAUUCUCUAAUAACAUGAAGGCUCGACACAGACUUGUAUCUAGUAAAAUGUCAAUCGUUAAUUACUGCCCCUACACGCUUGGCAGGCGAUCGCAAAGUCAGUGAGAAGAAUAGACUCGUGCAAAAGAUCAAACGAGCAUAUCCAUCGUCACAAUUUCAAGUUAUUUUCUAGUGUUAAAUUCGUAUGAGAGAUCAACGCGAGUCUAACGGUCAGUAAUUCUAGCAUUAAAAAGAUUCAGUGAUAAAAUGUUGCUAUCUAACCGAAUCAUAAUCGAUGUUAUCUUGGUGCCGUGUUAUAUACAACUUAUUACGUGUGUCUUUUAUCUUUUAAUAAUAAAGAGAAUGCAAAUCGAUAACUUGAUUAAAAUCAAAUCUAAGAACAGGAUGAUAUAAAAUGUGAUUAUAAUUCCAACUUUCUGCAUUACAGUUUAAACUAUGGAUUCGCGAGUGGCGGCAUCAUGAUUGCACAAAAAUUGUAAAAACUCAUUGAUCAUUGUUCGUGACCUAAAUUAGAUCUAUUUUGAUGUAGAAGUUUUUCUGUGAAACGCAUACUGCCGAUAAUUUUCUUUUCUAGAUAAACGAGUAGAGGACGUAUUCGAUAGAUAUGAUAAUCUGUCCUUGGGUUCGUGAUAACACAUAUCGUUUUGCAUUUAUAAAUCCGAUUCAAUUGGUCUGAAUUCAGUCAGUCACGCAUUUACAUCAGUGAAAUAUUAAUAAAAUAAACGAUGAAGGGAAUAUACGUAAUCGCUAUUGCCUUCCUGGCAUGUUGGAGCGUGAUCACCGCAAACGAGAAUUCUGACCAAGAUAAAUCUGAGCGAUCUGUAUUCGAAGGGAAACAACCCUCGGACGAAAUUCCAACAAGAUGUCUGUUUCACGGGAAACCAUCAAUAAACAGUACGAUCCAUCUGGCACACGAGAAUGAUUGUACCAAGUAUUACAAGUGUUUCAUGAGCAAACGAGUCGAGAUAGAAUGCCCCAUAUUCGGCAAGCGAGAGAAGCGAAAGCUGCAUUUCAAUACAAAAGAACAGGUCUGCGAUUGGCCAUGGCACGCUGGUUGCACGAACUGUCCCGGAAACCCAGAGAACGGCUACCCACAAACUAAGAUAUCUCACGAAACCGAUGACUGCAAUUUGUACUACGAGUGCAUCGAUGGCGAGAAACAUAUUCGUCGAUGUCUCAACGGUCUGUGUUUCAGUCGCACAUGUCAAGCAUGCGUUCAGAAUCGAGCAGGUGGAAAUUGCGAUUCUUCCGAUCAUCAUAGAAAAUAGGAGUCUCACGAAACAAUCGCCAGAAACGUUUCCCAGAAUCUUUCACCGACAGUCUUUACUUUAACUUGGAAGCUAACAAAGUGACAGGUGCAAAUUUUAGCUGUGAAUGAAUCUUACUUGAGAAGAAAUAAUGAAAGAGAAGAUAAAGAGGAAAGGCAAAUUAUGUGCAAACUACGACGAACAAUCUAGAAAUUUCGUAAUAAUACAGUAGAAAUGAGAAAAUCUUAAAAUUUUCCUAACAAUAUUUUCUUAAAUCAACUUCAGAAAAAGGUUUUUAUUAUUUCAUGAAAAUCGUGAAGCGAAUUCGUCGACGUUGAAUGGCGCACAUGCAACAGCUUGCAUAGAGCAAAUGGCGACUUCUAGACAGGCGGAUCAAACAGGAUAAUUAAAACUGAUGUUGUAAGAUUAUGUACGCUCAUUUCGCUUCGUAUUUGGACACUUGCCAUCGCCCAGCUAUAACAGUACUUGUCGUGAAACACAAGAACAACGCUCAAACAAAUUGCAUCAAUCCUUUUAGAGCGCACGCGAUAUUCAUAUAAUUUUUGUUACAUCAUCAAAUUUUAUUCAUUCUCGAGCGCAAAGGCAAUUCAAAAUGUUAUUUUGUAAAGCAUUGCAAGCAUUUUAAUAAAACUAAAGAAAGAUACUUCAUAUAUUUCACAAUUUUUGUUUUAAAUUACUGUAGGCUCCAUUGGAACAUAUUGUUUCUAAUGUUAUUAAAUAUAUGAGUUCUUUUUUUCAAUUCCUUGAUGUUUCAUAUAUUAAUUGGAUUAGAUCAUCAAUAUAAGAAAAUUAUAAUAUUAAAAUAGAAAAUUAAAAGAUAAUUCACGCACUAAAUAACGUAAGAAAAACACUAUAUCCUAAUUUCAUAACUUAUUUACAACAAAAAAGAACUGUAAUAAUAUGUGACAAAAUGUUUUUUAAUUACAGAAAUUGUGAAUAUUUUCAUACAUCUAAUAAUGAAAUUAAUAAUUCAAUACAAAUUCUCUCUGAUGUACUGAAUAAGAAACGAUACAUCUUAAGAGAGCUGAUGUAAUGAAAAAAAAGUUACAAUAAAUAAAAUAUGUAUAUA
Molecule: long non-coding RNA, 4670 nt
Organism: Ooceraea biroi (clonal raider ant)
Lineage: Eukaryota; Metazoa; Arthropoda; Insecta; Hymenoptera; Formicidae
Source: RefSeq, a predicted model, not a curated record